AGGGAAUUUUCGUCAAUGGGCGCAAGCCUGAACGAGCGAUGCCGCGUGAGUGAAGAAGGCCUUCGGGUCGUAAAGCUCUGUUGCGGGGGAAAAAAGGCAGCAUCAGGAAAUGGGUGCUGACUGAUGGUGCCCCGCCAGAAAGUCACGGCUAACUAAGUGCCAGCAGCCGCGGUAAUACGUAGGUGGCGAGCGUUAUCCGGAAUGAUUGGGCGUAAAGGGUGCGCAGGCGGUCCUGCAAGUCUGGAGUGAAACGCAUGAGCUCAACUCAUGCAUGGCUUUGGAAACUGGAGGACUGGAGAGCAGGAGAGGGCGGUGGAACUCCAUGUGUAGCGGUAAAAUGCGUAGAUAUAUGGAAGAACACCAGUGGCGAAGGCGGCCGCCUGGCCUGUUGCUGACGCUGAGGCACGAAAGCGUGGGGAGCAAAUAGG
This 428-nucleotide ribosomal RNA is filed under the name uncultured bacterium. RNAcentral's name for it is "bacterial SSU rRNA". It matches the Rfam family "Bacterial small subunit ribosomal RNA", at positions 356 to 776 of the family's 1533-position model. The record is from RNAcentral.